UUUUUUAAUUUUGUAGAAUGGUUCAAGUGAGAAAAGGGAAGUGAGGCAAUUCCAGUUCACUGCCUGGCCUGACCAUGGUGUCCCAGAACACCCAACACCGUUCUUAGCUUUCCUGCGACGAGUCAAGACCUGCAACCCACCUGAUGCUGGACCUAUGGUUGUACAUUGCAGUGCUGGAGUCGGCAGGACUGGCUGUUUCAUUGUGAUAGAUGCCAUGUUAGAGAGAAUAAAGCAUGAAAAGACUGUAGAUAUUUAUGGCCACGUAACUCUAAUGAGAGCACAGAGGAAUUACAUGGUUCAAACUGAGGACCAAUACAUCUUUAUCCAUGAUGCACUGCUGGAAGCAGUGACAUGUGGAAAUACCGAAGUGCCAGCCAGAAACCUGUAUGCAUAUAUCCAGAAGCUGACACAGAUAGAAACAGGCGAGAAUGUCACAGGAAUGGAACUGGAAUUUAAGCGUCUUGCUAGCUCUAAGGCUCACACUUCAAGAUUCAUCAGUGCCAAUCUUCCAUGUAAUAAAUUCAAAAAUCGCCUUGUCAAUAUUAUGCCAUAUGAGUCUACAAGGGUAUGCUUGCAGCCAAUCCGAGGAGUAGAAGGCUCUGAUUAUAUUAAUGCCAGUUUCAUUGAUGGAUACAGACAACAAAAAGCUUACAUAGCUACACAGGGUCCUUUAGCAGAAACAACUGAAGACUUCUGGAGAAUGCUCUGGGAGCAUAAUUCUACAAUUGUGGUCAUGCUCACUAAGCUACGAGAAAUGGGCAGAGAAAAAUGCCACCAGUACUGGCCUGCAGAGCGCUCAGCCAGGUAUCAGUAUUUUGUGGUAGAUCCAAUGGCAGAAUACAACAUGCCACAGUAUAUUCUGCGGGAAUUCAAGGUUACAGAUGCAAGGGAUGGCCAGUCCCGAACAGUGAGGCAGUUCCAGUUCACUGACUGGCCAGAACAAGGAGUGCCAAAGUCUGGAGAAGGAUUUAUUGACUUCAUAGGCCAAGUGCAUAAAACAAAAGAGCAGUUUGGUCAGGAUGGACCAAUUUCUGUUCACUGCAGUGCGGGUGUUGGAAGGACUGGAGUAUUCAUAACCCUGAGCAUUGUGUUAGAAAGAAUGAGAUAUGAAGGUGUUGUAGAUAUCUUCCAGACUGUCAAAAUGUUAAGGACACAGCGGCCAGCCAUGGUACAGACAGAGGAUCAAUACCAGUUCUGCUAUCGAGCCGCACUGGAAUAUCUGGGCAGCUUUGAUCACUAUGCAACAUAAAAACCCAUCAUGGAUUUUUAUUGCAGGCCCUUUCAGAUCCAGAGAGCCGCUUCUGAGCCAUACGAUGUGCUUUAGAAGUACUUCUUAACUCUUAGCUAAGGAGCGAUUAUUGGGGAUAUAUAAAAUAAAAAACAA
Non-coding RNA from Pelecanus crispus (Dalmatian pelican), 1384 nucleotides. The record is from RefSeq and is a predicted model, not a curated record. NCBI's taxonomy places the organism in Eukaryota, Metazoa, Chordata, Aves, Pelecaniformes, Pelecanidae.